CUACCUUUUUAUGAGUUCGUUGAACAGCAGUACUAAAAUUGCAGAGGGAAACGAGUACAGCAUCUUCUGACAAGCAAGAUUAUAAAGAAGCAGCUGCCCACCUUUAUAUCAAAGAUAUUUAUUGUGUAGUAUACCAGAAAUACUUGCUAAUUCUGCUAUUUUCCACAAAUAUGAGUCUCCUAUUAUUUAGCACAGUGGAAAAAUACAUGCCUACAUGCUCUACAGUGGCAUAUCUAUGACGAAGAAUUGAAUCAGAACACCAGCAACCAAAGAAAAAAUGUGACUCACAAUAUGAUACUAUUGACAGAGAAGUCUGGACUAGGAGAGUUUACCUGCAUGUGCAAGGGGAUGAAAAGGGAGAGGAAAAUGGUGCCACUCUUUUCUAUCACAAAUAUGGAAAAUAGCACAACCUGCCUGUGUUGAGAAAAACCAGGACAGAGUUAUUCUUGUGUCUCGACAGAGAAAGGAUCCCAAACCAGAUGUCUCCUCCUGAGAUCUCUAAUCUAGUGCUCAAGGCACACAUGAAAAACACAGCUCUGUGGUAAAAUCAACGUGGCGGAUAAUCCCCCACUAUAAGAAAGCCCUUUAGAUGCUGCAGAUGAAUGUUCAACAUCUUCCACUACUGCUCUGACCUUCACAGAAGAAAUUGAAAUAUUGAAAGCACUGCAGUGGACAGAGAGUCAGGAUGGCCAAACAGGCAGGAAGAUGCUUUCUUAAGAGAUGCAGGGAGAAAGCUGUGUAGGAAAGCAGCAGAAGAAUUACAGAAGUGAGACUGAAUGAACCUGAAAACUGUCAUUUUUUUAAAAAAUGAAAAGAAACAGAGCAUUCAUCCAAGAUCUGGGGCAUCUGCAUAUGUCUACCUUCUUUGCUGCACAUCUGCAUUUAGAUCUUCAUUUCCCAUACCAUGAUAAAGUAGUGUAACAUUAGUUGUCAUGAACUGGACUUUACUCACAGAUUGAAGAUUUCACUUUGACUCUGAGCACCUAGCUUGAUUUUGAAAGGGUAACUAUUAAUCCACUAUUUGAACCCUAAUUUUUCAAUGGGCAUAUCUGUCUGUGUGUACUAAUAUCUGACAUUCUUACAAAUACUAAUGCCCAAUAUCAACUUAGUUGAAAAUAUGAAAAGCUGUAAUUCCUGGAUUUCACUGUAUUAUGCAGUGAUAGACUUGUCAGAGGACUACACAGACCUCUUGUUUCUACUGCCCAAGGUUACACAUGCAAAGUAACAUGCCACAUGACAAAGUAACUUGUGGUCUCCCAGCUGAAUAAACAUCCAUCUGGGAGCAGAAAUAAAACGGCAGAAUAAAACAGCAGAAUAAGACAGCAGAAAAAAAGUUUUGCUAAAAUGAAAAUUUUUCAUUUUUUUAACACCAAGACUUAAUUCACUGAAGAUUUUUUCAGAAGAAAAUUGAAAUAAAUUUUGCGUUUUGUACUUCAUUUCUCUAAAAUCAGAUUAGAGAAUGUUUGAAUGGGGAAGGGCAACUAGAACUGGGAAGAGCUGAAAGAAGCUGGAAGAUAAAGCUGGAGUUUACACCAAAUUAAUCAGGCCUAGAACUGGAUGCAGAUGUUUACAAAGGAAGCCCAGGGAAAAGUCAGCACCAGGGCCCCGUCAGAGAUAAAUGGCUGUUAAGAUCUGCCUGCAGAGAGAUUCAGCAUGUGGAGGUCAGUCUCAAGCAGGUGAUUUUGAGAUGAGGUGAUUUUUUAUUUCCCUUCUGAGAAGGCCAUCCAGCAAACUGAUGUCUGAAGAGAUACCCUGUUUCCCUUUGCUAACUCAGCAUGAAUGGUGGAUUAUUACACAGUUAAGUACAGGCAUUUCACUCACAUCUAAGGACAGCUCACACCACUCAGUGGGAAAUAUUAUUUUCCUCUUCUGGUAACUUAAGCUACGAUAUUAAAAAAAAAAAUCAGUACUUGAAUUAUAGAAAAUCUGCAAUGCACAACUGGAAAAUAAAUCAAUAAAAUAUCUUUCCUAACAAAAUAUGCAGUUUAUUACAACACUGGAUACUAUAUUGCUUUUUCCUGAAUAGAAAGAAGGUGGAUGUCUCUGUUUCAUAUCAGCAUAUUUCUAUCUUGCAAUAAAUUGUAUCUAUAAAUUAUUUAUACCGUAACUUGUCAACAGAGAAACAAGCAAUGUGUGUUUAUAUAUAAAGGGAAUGUACAUGUAUUUGUACUAUGAAAGUAAAAGAGGGGUGGCAGAUGACCAAAAGGAUAUAUAAGUUAAAUCUUCUGCAUAGCAAGUCAAAGAAAAAAGGAAUACCAGGAAUAAUAAAAAAGUAUUUGACCUAGAAAUUAACUAUAAUUUUAUAAUAGCCAUUUUAAACACACUCAUGAAAUUCCCUUAGUCUUCUGUAGAAAGAGGUUAAUUGUUUUUCAGAAAACUCUCAUGAGGUAUUAUUAAAAUGGGGCAUUUAGUAGACAGCUAACAGUAAAAACAAAUAUAUAUGGCAGUUCACUUGUCAUAGAGAAAUUGCAUAAAAUUGAUCAAUUAUUUCUGAUCAGCAGAAAAUUCAGGUAAAAAAUUAUACCUGCUAGGCAGACUUUUUAGGUAAAACUCAAGAAGUUACAGAAAGGGCAAAAUAAAAAUAUUGUAUGUGAAGUAAUAUAGAUUCUAAGUCUAUGUCUAGGCAAGCAACAAAUCAAAUAAUGCUGUGGUUGACUUGCCUCUGAGCUAUAUUCUUGAGAAAUACAACAUUCUGGCACGCGGACCAAUAUUUCUAUGCACAAUCAGCCAUAUCCCACAAGGAAUACACAGUAUUUGAUGUAAAAUCAGAUACACUAUUCUUCACAGUGGAUGAAUUUUCGUUUAUGUCCACUGACUAUUUCACUAAAGUAAAAAAUCUCUGGAAGAAAAAUGUUGCAAAUUAUUAAAACAUUGCUCUUAAAAUGUCUCAGAGGCUUUUCUCCUCUUAUUCUUUGUUCUUUAGAAAUGAAUAGUUAAACUAUGAACAAUUAACAUGACUGUAUUUUAGCUAAGAAAAAAGAAUUAACUUGAAAAGCUAGACCCAUAGCAUUAGAUCUAGAACUCAUUUCUCAGAUAGUUACUACUAAUAAUAUAUUGUUUUCACUCCAUAAUAAAAAUCAAAUGCAGAUUUUACUCUAACAACAGAGUCUUGAGUGCACAGCAAAACAUAAGAAUAAUGUGCUGAUACUUCUCUUUUCUCUUGUGUUGUUAUAAUUACGGAAAACACAGCACCUUAAUGUCAGUUUUCGAAAUUUGCAUCAGCAAGUAACAUCCUGAUAGGAGGACUGAUUUUAAGAGGAAUGGGUCAAAUAAUCUACUUGAACAUAUCAACACUCACAAAUAAUAUAUCUUUUCUUUGUAUUGAAAUACUUUUUUCAAUACAGAUGUUAUUUACAAUUUUUGUUAAUAUUCUGUUUGUGCAAUUUAGAGUCCAUCUAUUAAUUGAGGAUAAUUUCUUGCACAGCAAGAAAAGCUUAUAAAUAUUAUGUGUUAUAAACAUUGUUGUAAAUAUAAAUGCAGUAAAUGGAUCAAAGAAACUUAACAUGAUUUUCUUCAAGAGUAAGAAAAAAGUACUGAAAUUGGAAAAAACCCAGAUUUACCAUAUGAAUUUAAAUGAUAAUAAUUAUGAAGGCCUAUCAUGCUGAUUGUUGGAGAAUUACUACAGUGAAAGUGUAUCCUAAAAGACUCUCUGUGAAAUUUUCAUUUUUAUCUAGUGUAAUAGGCUGAAUUUUAAUGCCAACAAUAUAGAUUAUUCCAGUAUCAUUCUCAGUGAAACAAUAAUUUCUCAAACACUGAUUUUGAAUAUAAUAAUUUCUGUAUUAGUACUGUACUUGCAAUAGAAAACAAAGUGUGAAAGAGACUGCAAAUGAUGGUGGCAAUGGCAGUCUUGAAUUUCUCUAUAUAGUUGUUGAAAUAAAGAAAAUCCACAACUUGGAGCUACUUUGAUCCUUGGUCUAGCAGGACCUGCAGAACAACUGAAAUAACAGCUUUUGCUGAAAAUAAAAUGUUUAUGGACAUGAAUCUCCAUUUAGGUUUUCCCAAGCUUUUGGGCUGUGAUUCCACAAAUUAAUGUAUUUUAUUCAGUUUUUUCCUUUAUGUCACACAUACUGUCUGUUUUUGAUGAUGCAGAUGUACAUUAGUACUGAUCCUAUCAAUAAAGUAUUUAUC
Long non-coding RNA from Passer domesticus (house sparrow), 4128 nucleotides. RefSeq lists it as uncharacterized. The transcript is spliced from 6 exons. Lineage: Eukaryota; Metazoa; Chordata; Aves; Passeriformes; Passeridae. The record is from RefSeq and is a predicted model, not a curated record.